GCGUGGGUGAAGAAGGCCUUCGGGUUGUAAAGCCCUUUUGUUGGGAAAGAAAAGCAGUCGGUUAAUACCCGAUUGUUCUGACGGUACCCAAAGAAUAAGCACCGGCUAACUUCGUGCCAGCAGCCGCGGUAAUACGAAGGGUGCAAGCGUUACUCGGAAUUACUGGGCGUAAAGCGUGCGUAGGUGGUUGUUUAAGUCCGUUGUGAAAGCCCUGGGCUCAACCUGGGAAUUGCAGUGGAUACUGGGCAACUAGAGUGUGGUAGAGGAUGGCGGAAUUCCCGGUGUAGCAGUGAAAUGCGUAGAGAUCGGGAGGAACAUCUGUGGCGAAGGCGGCCAUC
RNAcentral lists this ribosomal RNA (338 nucleotides) under Xanthomonas translucens pv. undulosa. RNAcentral describes it as "bacterial SSU rRNA". It matches the Rfam family "Bacterial small subunit ribosomal RNA", at positions 399 to 729 of the family's 1533-position model. The record is from RNAcentral. Lineage: Bacteria; Pseudomonadati; Pseudomonadota; Gammaproteobacteria; Lysobacterales; Lysobacteraceae.